UAGAGUUUGAUCCUGGCUCAGGACGAACGCUGGCGGCGUGCCUAAUACAUGCAAGUAGAACGCUGAAGAGAGGAGCUUGCUCUUCUUGGAUGAGUUGCGAACGGGUGAGUAACGCGUAGGUAACCUGCCUGGUAGCGGGGGAUAACUAUUGGAAACGAUAGCUAAUACCGCAUAAAAUGGAUUAUCGCAUGAUAAUUCAUUGAAAGGUGCAAAUGCAUCACUACCAGAUGGACCUGCGUUGUAUUAGCUAGUUGGUGGGGUAACGGCUCACCAAGGCAACGAUACAUAGCCGACCUGAGAGGAAGGUCCCCCACAUUGGAACUGAGACACGGUCCAAACUCCUACGGGAGGCAGCAGUGAGGAAUAUUGGUCAAUGGACGGAAGUCUGAACCAGCCAAGUAGCGCGCAGGAUGACGGCCCUAUGGGUUGUAAACUGCUUUUGUAUGGGGAUAAAGUCAAUCACGUGUGAUUGUUUGCAGGUACCAUACGAAUAAGGACCGGCUAAUUCCGUGCCAGCAGCCGCGGUAAUACGGAAGGUCCAGGCGUUAUCCGGAUUUAUUGGGUUUAAGGGGAGCGUAGGCUGGAUAUUAAGUGUGUUGUGAAAUGUAGACGCUCAACGUCUGACUUGCAGCGCAUACUGGUUUCCUUGAGUACGCACAACGUUGGCGGAAUUCGUCGUGUAGCGGUGAAAUGCUUAGAUAUGACGAAGAACUCCGAUUGCGAAGGCAGCUGACGGGAGCGCAACUGACGCUUAAGCUCGAAGGUGCGGGUAUCAAAGCAGGAUUAGAUACCCUGGUAGUCCGCACAGUAAACGAUGGAUGCCCGCUGUUGGUACCUGGUAUCAGCGGCUAAGCGAAAGCAUUAAGCAUCCCACCUGGGGAGUACGCCGGCAACGGUGAAACUCAAAGGAAUUGACGGGGGCCCGCACAAGCGGAGGAACAUGUGGUUUAAUUCGAUGAUACGCGAGGAACCUUACCCGGGCUUGAAUUGCAGAGGAAGGAUUUAGAGAUAAUGACGCCCUUCGGGGUCUCUGUGAAGGUGCUGCAUGGUUGUCGUCAGCUCGUGCCGUGAGGUGUCGGCUUAAGUGCCAUAACGAGCGCAACCCCUCUCUUCAGUUGCCAUCAGGUGAUGCUGGGCACUCUGGAGACACUGCCACCGUAAGGUGUGAGGAAGGUGGGGAUGACGUCAAAUCAGCACGGCCCUUACGUCCGGGGCUACACACGUGUUACAAUGGCCGGUACAGAGGGAUGGUGUAAUGCAAAUUGCAUCAAAUCUUGAAAGCCGGUCCCAGUUCGGACUGGGGUCUGCAACCCGACCCCACGAAGCUGGAUUCGCUAGUAAUCGCGCAUCAGCCAUGGCGCGGUGAAUAAGUUCCCGGGCCUUGCACACACCGCCCGUCAAG
RNAcentral lists this ribosomal RNA (1402 nucleotides) under uncultured bacterium. RNAcentral's name for it is "bacterial SSU rRNA". It matches the Rfam family "Bacterial small subunit ribosomal RNA". The record is from RNAcentral.